This 258-nucleotide ribosomal RNA is filed under the name uncultured bacterium. Its description in RNAcentral is "partial 16S ribosomal RNA". It matches the Rfam family "Bacterial small subunit ribosomal RNA", at positions 96 to 354 of the family's 1533-position model. The record is from RNAcentral.
UGGCGGACGGGUGAGUAACGCGUGGGUAACCUGCCCCAUACCGGGGGAUACCACCUGGAAACAGGUGCUAAUACCGCAUAAGCGCACGGGAGCGCAUGCUCCUGUGUGAAAAACUCCGGUGGUAUGGGAUGGACCCGCGUCUGAUUAGCCAGUUGGCAGGGUAACGGCCUACCAAAGCGACGAUCAGUAGCCGGCCUGAGAGGGUGGACGGCCACAUUGGGACUGAGACACGGCCCAAACUCCUACGGGAGGCAGCAG